This 253-nucleotide ribosomal RNA is filed under the name uncultured bacterium. RNAcentral's name for it is "partial 16S ribosomal RNA". It matches the Rfam family "Bacterial small subunit ribosomal RNA", at positions 524 to 776 of the family's 1533-position model. The record is from RNAcentral.
UACGUAGGGACCGAGCGUUGUCCGGAUUUAUUGGGCGUAAAGAGCUCGUAGGCGGUUUGUUGCGUCGGCUGUGAAAUCCCGAGGCUCAACCUCGGGUCUGCAGUCGAUACGAGCAAACUAGAGUGUUGCAGGGGAGACUGGAAUUCCUGGUGUAGCGGUGAAAUGCGCAGAUAUCAGGAGGAACACCGGUGGCGAAGGCGGGUCUCUGGGCAACAACUGACGCUGAGGAGCGAAAGCGUGGGGAGCGAACAGG